GACGGGGGAUGCAAGUGUUAUCCGGAAUUACUGGGCGUAAAGCGUGCGCAGGCGGUUUUGUAAGCCAGAUGUGAAAUCCCCGGGCUUAACCUGGGAAUGGCAUUUGGGACUGCAAGGCUAGAGUAUGGCAGAGGAGACUAGAAUUCCUGGUGUAGCAGUGAAAUGCGUAGAUAUCAGGAGGAAUACCGAUGGCGAAGGCAGGUCUCUGGGUCAAUACUGACGCUCAUGCACGAAAGCGUGGGGAGCAAACAGG
Molecule: ribosomal RNA, 253 nt
Filed under: uncultured bacterium
Lineage: Bacteria
Description: partial 16S ribosomal RNA
Rfam family: Bacterial small subunit ribosomal RNA
Source: RNAcentral